Molecule: ribosomal RNA, 253 nt
Filed under: uncultured bacterium
Lineage: Bacteria
Description: partial 16S ribosomal RNA
Rfam family: Bacterial small subunit ribosomal RNA
Source: RNAcentral
UACGAAGGGGGCUAGCGUUGUUCGGAAUUACUGGGCGUAAAGCGUGCGCAGACGGUUGCGUAAGUCAGCUGUGAAAGCCCCGGGCUCAACCUGGGAAUUGCAUUUGAUACUCUGGAGCUUGAGUACGGGAGAGGAUAGUGGAAUUCCCAGUGUAGAGGUGAAAUUCGUAGAUAUUGGGAAGAACACCGGUGGCGAAGGCGGCUAUCUGGACCGUAACUGACGCUGAGGCGCGAAAGCGUGGGGAGCAAACAGG